ACACAUGCAAGUCGAGGGGCAGCAUGGUCUUAGCUUGCUAAGGCCGAUGGCGACCGGCGCACGGGUGAGUAACACGUAUCCAACCUGCCGUCUACUCUUGGACAGCCUUCUGAAAGGAAGAUUAAUACAAGAUGGCAUCAUGAGUCCGCAUGUUCACAUGAUUAAAGGUAUUCCGGUAGACGAUGGGGAUGCGUUCCAUUAGAUAGUAGGCGGGGUAACGGCCCACCUAGUCUUCGAUGGAUAGGGGUUCUGAGAGGAAGGUCCCCCACAUUGGAACUGAGACACGGUCCAAACUCCUACGGGAGGCAGCAGUGAGGAAUAUUGGUCAAUGGGCGAGAGCCUGAACCAGCCAAGUAGCGUGAAGGAUGACUGCCCUAUGGGUUGUAAACUUCUUUUAUAAAGGAAUAAAGUCGGGUAUGGAUACCCGUUUGCAUGUACUUUAUGAAUAAGGAUCGGCUAACUCCGUGCCAGCAGCCGCGGUAAUACGGAGGAUCCGAGCGUUAUCCGGAUUUAUUGGGUUUAAAGGGAGCGUAGAUGGAUGUUUAAGUCAGUUGUGAAAGUUUGCGGCUCAACCGUAAAAUUGCAGUUGAUACUGGAUAUCUUGAGUGCAGUUGAGGCAGGCGGAAUUCGUGGUGUAGCGGUGAAAUGCUUAGAUAUCACGAAGAACUCCGAUUGCGAAGGCAGCCUGCUAAGCUGCAACUGACAUUGAGGCUCGAAAGUGUGGGUAUCAAACAGGAUUAGAUACCCUGGUAGUCCACACGGUAAACGAUGAAUACUCGCUGUUUGCGAUAUACUGCAAGCGGCCAAGCGAAAGCGUUAAGUAUUCCACCUGGGGAGUACGCCGGCAACGGUGAAACUCAAAGGAAUUGACGGGGGCCCGCACAAGCGGAGGAACAUGUGGUUUAAUUCGAUGAUACGCGAGGAACCUUACCCGGGCUUAAAUUGCAGAUGAAUUACGGUGAAAGCCGUAAGCCGCAAGGCAUCUGUGAAGGUGCUGCAUGGUUGUCGUCAGCUCGUGCCGUGAGGUGUCGGCUUAAGUGCCAUAACGAGCGCAACCCUUGUUGUCAGUUACUAACAGGUUCCGCUGAGGACUCUGACAAGACUGCCAUCGUAAGAUGUGAGGAAGGUGGGGAUGACGUCAAAUCAGCACGGCCCUUACGUCCGGGGCUACACACGUGUUACAAUGGGGGGUACAGAGGGCCGCUACCACGCGAGUGGAUGCCAAUCCCCAAAACCUCUCUCAGUUCGGACUGGAGUCUGCAACCCGACUCCACGAAGCUGGAUUCGCUAGUAAUCGCGCAUCAGCCACGGCGCGGUGAAUACGUUCCCGGGCCUUGUACACACCGCCCGUCAAGCCAUGGGAGCCGGGGGUACCUGAAGUGCGUAACCGCGAGGAGCGCCCUAGGGUAAAACUGGUGACUGGGGCUAA
This 1429-nucleotide ribosomal RNA is filed under the name uncultured bacterium. RNAcentral's name for it is "bacterial SSU rRNA". It matches the Rfam family "Bacterial small subunit ribosomal RNA". The record is from RNAcentral.